This 498-nucleotide ribosomal RNA is filed under the name uncultured bacterium. Its description in RNAcentral is "partial 16S ribosomal RNA". It matches the Rfam family "Bacterial small subunit ribosomal RNA", at positions 30 to 523 of the family's 1533-position model. The record is from RNAcentral.
AUUGAACGCUGGCGGCAUGCCUUACACAUGCAUGUCGAACGGUAACAGGUCUUCGGAUGCUGACGAGUGGCGAACGGGUGAGUAAUACAUCGGAACGUGCCUAGUAGUGGGGGAUAACUACUCGAAAGAGUGGCUAAUACCGCAUGAGAUCUACGGAUGAAAGCAGGGGAUCGCAAGACCUUGUGCUACUAGAGCGGCCGAUGGCAGAUUAGGUAGUUGGUGGGAUAAAAGCUUACCAAGCCGACGAUCUGUAGCUGGUCUGAGAGGACGAUCAGCCACACUGGGACUGAGACACGGCCCAGACUCCUACGGGAGGCAGCAGUGGGGAAUUUUGGACAAUGGGCGCAACCCUGAUCCAGCAAUGCCGCGUGCAGGAUGAAGGCCUUCGGGUUGUAAACUGCUUUUGUACGGAACGAAAAGCCCUGGGUUAAUACCCUGGGGUCAUGACGGUACCGUAAGAAUAAGCACCGGCUAACUACGUGCCAGCCGCCGCAGUAA